UGUAGGUUUACGAGACAUUUGCAAGUAAUCGCAAACUUAGUAUUCUAAAUCCCAGUUUGUCCAUUGCAGUAAAAUAUUUUAUGGUCUGAUUGGGGACACCUUCUUGAAUCAACAAAUAGUAAUUUACUGAAAACCACGAUCAGUGGGGCCACCAACAAACUGACCACACUCCAAUUCAUUACCACAUGGGCUGUAUGCUGUGUGUCAGUGUUUCACUCUGCCUGCCCUGUGUGUUUCUGAGUUUGAGAUGCAUGUCUGGACAUGUCUACUAUCUACUGGGUUAGGCAGAACUGAAGGUGUCCUGCUGGGACUAGGCUGUUGUGAGGAGAAUGGAGACAAUCUGAGGACUGCAGGGAGUGUGUGACUGGACAAUCUGAGGUUACUGCUUCAUCAGACACCAUCGCAUCAUCUGUAGAUUCUGCUAUUAGAAACUUUGGAGUGGCUGUCUGACCUCACAUGAGAACUGAGAAGACAGACAUCUCAGGCACACAUGAGGUGAGUUUAGUAAGCACUCAUUGGAAUACGUAGACUAUUUUACAUAAAUCUAUGGCACCGGAUUUUGUAAGAUAUGUUACACGACGUUAGGUUAUAUUACAAUGCGCUACCAAAAUGUAUAAUGUAUUAUGAAUUGGCAAAAACGUAUGAAAUGUUACGGACCCUACUAAAAUGUAUCAUAUGUUACGAAUUUGCACAAAACAUCCAAGCUGUGUUUCAAACCAGCGAUGUUCAGCUCUGCAUAAGGGCAUCCUACCCAUUGAUUCACACAGGGAUUAUCGAUUUGGAAGGACGAGUAAUUAGCACUGGGGCUAAGGUUAGGGAUAAAAUUUGGGGUAAGGUUUGAAAACAAAUAAGGUUAGGGUUAGGUAUCACAGCACUGGAGUUAAGGUUAGGGUUUGAAAGAAAAUCAUUUGUAACAUAUCGACCUUGUAGCACCAUUAGUCGCCACACCUAACAGGAAGUUCCUGUUUGGAGCAGUGGGUAGUGCAUCCAGGAAGUUCCUGUUUGGAGCAGUGGGUAGUGCAUCCGUCUGCGGUGCUGCAGGAUGCAUGUUUGAAACACAGGCUGCCAAUCGCUGCAUUUUUUCAGGAUUUUUACUCUAACGUUACUUCACCUAAUGUAAUACAUCUUAAGAAUUUGUCCAUCAAAGAUUUACACAAAUUAUUCUACGUAUUCCCAUGAGACCAGGUUGCAGUGCGACACCGGCACCACCCUGAUCACCAUACAGUGUGCUGCUUUCAAUCAAAGCCCUGUGGGUGGAUCACUGUUCAGUGUAAACCAGAGUGACUGGGAGGGCGGGGUCAUAUGAUCUAU
Esox lucius (northern pike) is the source of this 1311-nucleotide long non-coding RNA. NCBI's taxonomy places the organism in Eukaryota, Metazoa, Chordata, Actinopteri, Esociformes, Esocidae. The record is from Ensembl.